RNAcentral lists this ribosomal RNA (465 nucleotides) under Vreelandella stevensii. Its description in RNAcentral is "partial 16S ribosomal RNA". It matches the Rfam family "Bacterial small subunit ribosomal RNA", at positions 338 to 795 of the family's 1533-position model. Lineage: Bacteria; Pseudomonadati; Pseudomonadota; Gammaproteobacteria; Oceanospirillales; Halomonadaceae. The record is from RNAcentral.
CCUACGGGAGGCAGCAGUGGGGAAUAUUGGACAAUGGGGGGAACCCUGAUCCAGCCAUGCCGCGUGUGUGAAGAAGGCCCUCGGGUUGUAAAGCACUUUCAGUGAGGAAGAACGCCUGGUGGUUAAUACCCAUCAGGAAAGACAUCACUCACAGAAGAAGCACCGGCUAACUCCGUGCCAGCAGCCGCGGUAAUACGGAGGGUGCGAGCGUUAAUCGGAAUUACUGGGCGUAAAGCGCGCGUAGGUGGCUUGAUAAGCCGGUUGUGAAAGCCCCGGGCUCAACCUGGGAACGGCAUCCGGAACUGUCAAGCUAGAGUGCAGGAGAGGAAGGUAGAAUUCCCGGGGUAGCGGUGAAAGGCGUAGAGAUCGGGAGGAAUACCAGUGGCGAAGGCGGCCUUCUGGACUGACACUGACACUGAGGUGCGAAAGCGUGGGUAGCAAACAGGAUUAGAUACCCUGGUAGUC